Molecule: long non-coding RNA, 549 nt
Organism: Suricata suricatta (meerkat)
Lineage: Eukaryota; Metazoa; Chordata; Mammalia; Carnivora; Herpestidae
Exons: 3
Source: RefSeq, a predicted model, not a curated record
GGUAGCCUCGGUUUCAUAUCCCCUGCCGUUACAUUAAGUCAUCUCUAAAGGCUUCCUAGUAUUAGGCCAGAAAUGUAAGGGACUUAACGCGUUCCUAGGUUACAUUCUCCGUAUUUGCUCAAGAUUAACUGCCCUUUGGUGUUCUUUUCUGAGUAUUUUCAUGCCCUUCCUCAUGAAGUCACAGGACGGGACUAAAAUGAGAGCUGCACCGUUCUUUUCCUCGUUUUCACCUCGUUAAGCUCCGGCGUCACGCUCCCGUUCUGACUUAGCUCCGGUUGACCCGGACCCUGUCUCCCGCGGGGUCUGGGGACAGGCUGUGCCAGCGUCAGCUGGGAGCGUCACCUGCGGACUGUGCAGACGCCUGGCUUCGCUCAGACCAACAAAGUAAAAACUUUCACAGGCACUGGGAUACAGAAGCAAAAGAAACUCUUCUCCCACACCCACCCCCAGGAGCUAACAUUUCUCUGGAGGAGCCAGCAGAAUAUCAAAUGAGUCCAUCAACCAGCAGCUGACUACGAAAACAUGAGCAAGUAAAGAUGACAAUACCUG